Molecule: ribosomal RNA, 216 nt
Filed under: Glomeromycotina sp.
Lineage: Eukaryota; Fungi; Glomeromycota
Description: partial small subunit ribosomal RNA
Rfam family: Eukaryotic small subunit ribosomal RNA (bases 40-216)
Source: RNAcentral
GGGUCAGUAGGUUGGUCGUGCCACCGGUACGUACUGGUCUCACUGAUUCCUCCUUCCUGAAGAACCGUAAUGCCAUUAAUUUGGUGUUGCGGGGAAACAGGACUGUUACUUUGAAAAAAUUAGAGUGUUUAAAGCAAGCUAACGCUUGAAUACAUUAGCAUGGAAUAAUGAAAUAGGACGAUCGAUCCCAUUUUGUUGGUUUCUAGGAUUGACGUA